RNAcentral lists this ribosomal RNA (274 nucleotides) under uncultured bacterium. RNAcentral describes it as "partial 16S ribosomal RNA". It matches the Rfam family "Bacterial small subunit ribosomal RNA", at positions 523 to 796 of the family's 1533-position model. The record is from RNAcentral.
ACACGAACUGCGCGAACGUUAUUCGGAAUCAUUGGGCUUAAAGAGUUCGUAGGCGGCCUGAUAAGUUGGGUGUGAAAUCCCUCGGCUCAACCGAGGAACUGCGCCCAAUACUGUCAGGCUCGAGGGAGACAGAGGUGAGUGGAACUGAUGGUGGAGCGGUGAAAUGCGUUGAUAUCAUCAGGAACACCGGUGGCGAAAGCGGCUCACUGGGUCUCUUCUGACGCUGAGGAACGAAAGCUAGGGGAGCGAACGGGAUUAGAAACCCCAGUAGUCC